Molecule: ribosomal RNA, 596 nt
Filed under: uncultured bacterium
Lineage: Bacteria
Description: bacterial SSU rRNA
Rfam family: Bacterial small subunit ribosomal RNA
Source: RNAcentral
CCUACGGGAGGCAGCAGUAAGGAAUAUUGGUCAAUGGACGAAAGUCUGAACCAGCCAUGCCGCGUGGAGGAUGAAGGUCCUCUGGAUUGUAAACUUCUUUUAUAUGGGACGAAAAAAGGCUUUUCUAAGUCGUCUGACGGUACCAUAUGAAUAAGCACCGGCUAACUCCGUGCCAGCAGCCGCGGUAAUACGGAGGGUGCAAGCGUUAUCCGGAUUCACUGGGUUUAAACGGGAGCGUAGGUGGGUUGGUAAGUCAGUGGUGAAAUCCCCGAGCUUAACUUGGGAACUGCCAUUGAUACUAUCACUCUUGAAUACCGUGGAGGUCAGCGGAAUAUGUCAUGUAGCGGUGAAAUGCUUAGAUAUGACAUAGAACACCAAUUGCGAAGGCAGCUGGCUACACGAAUAUUGACACUGAGGCUCGAAAGCGUGGGGAUCAAACAGGAUUAGAUACCCUGGUAGUCCACGCCCUAAACCUAUGGAUACUCGACAUACGCGAUACACUGUGUGUGUCUGAGCGAAGCAUUAGUAUCCACCUGGAGUACGAUCGCAAGNUGAACNAAGAUGAGNGNGAGAGNGCGAGNGACGNGAGGGAGAGG